UGCGCAUGGAGAGACUCGAACUCUCAACUUCUGGUUUCUAAAACCAGUGACUCUGCCAAUUGGCCUACACGCGC
Molecule: transfer RNA, 74 nt
Filed under: Vibrio phage 1.081.O._10N.286.52.C2
Lineage: Duplodnaviria; Heunggongvirae; Uroviricota; Caudoviricetes; Pantevenvirales; Straboviridae
Description: tRNA-Leu
Source: RNAcentral